UACAGAGGGGGCAAGCGUUGUUCGGAAUUACUGGGCGUAAAGGGCGCGUAGGCGGCCUGCUAAGUCGAACGUGAAAUCCCCGAGCUCAACUCGGGAACUGCGUCCGAUACUGACGGGCUUGAAUCCGGGAGAGGGAUGCGGAAUUCCAGGUGUAGCGGUGAAAUGCGUAGAUAUCUGGAGGAACACCGGUGGCGAAGGCGGCAUCCUGGACCGGCAUUGACGCUGAGGCGCGAAAGCUAGGGGAGCAAACGGG
This 253-nucleotide ribosomal RNA is filed under the name uncultured bacterium. RNAcentral describes it as "partial 16S ribosomal RNA". It matches the Rfam family "Bacterial small subunit ribosomal RNA", at positions 524 to 776 of the family's 1533-position model. The record is from RNAcentral.